CCACUUGAAAAUGUUUAACUAAUAGUUCAUAAUAAAUCUGAAAAAGGGAAUUCUCCUCAUACCCUCCUACCUCUCCCUCUUCUUUUUCUCUUCCUCCUCCCUCUUCUCUCCCCCCUCCUUCCUCCUCCUCUCCUGCCUCCUUCCUCUCUCUUUCUCCUUGCCGUUAUCUUUUGAGCCACAAAAUGGCCAACUGGCUUACAGCAGGGCAGCAUUGACAGUUCCCCAUUCUGUGCAAACACCUUUGGAGCGAAUCCUGUGGCAGGGAAGAGAGAGCAACUAGCUUCCUGAAGUCUCAGCCGGGUCUGUUAAUGAACGCUGCUGGCACUGUAAUUUACAGAUGGGAUUAUGACAUUCCCACCUCUACUCAGGUCCUGCUUCCUCAACUCUCAGAGUGAAUCCUGCCAUGAGCAACACGCCAUCCAUCAGCCCCUCCCAACCCACCCUAAUGGAGUCUUCCUUUUCACCUCCUCCUGGAUCUCCAGGGCAGCUUUUCACUCGCCCUUCAUCAGUGAACUUCAUGGAACGGCUCUCAGAAUAUUCUACCAACCCCGUAUUUUCUGGAACAUUGUAGUGAGCUUCAUGCAGAUUGUUGAUCUCUGUGCUCCAAAGAGCUCAGCAAAUUCCCCAGGCUCAGCCCAUGUGCUCUCGACUUUUCUAAUGUCCACCUUGAGACUUAUCUAUCCCUAAAAAUAAUUUAAAAGCACAGGAAAGGAUAAGGUGGAGAAGAAAACCCAAGAAGAGCAAAUUUACUCCUUCUGUGUUUACUGAGUAAAAAUCUAAACAGCCCUAGGGCUCCACCAAACAAGGGUGAGACUGACACAAUGAUUUAAAUGACAUGGUCAAACAAAUAAAUAAAAAGGCGUAAAGGGGAGGUUUGAUAUC
This 882-nucleotide long non-coding RNA is filed under the name Mus spicilegus (steppe mouse). RNAcentral's name for it is "lncRNA (ENSMSIG00000021236.1)". The record is from RNAcentral. Lineage: Eukaryota; Metazoa; Chordata; Mammalia; Rodentia; Muridae.